Molecule: unclassified non-coding RNA, 358 nt
Filed under: soil metagenome
Description: partial contains 5.8S ribosomal RNA, internal transcribed spacer 2, and large subunit ribosomal RNA
Rfam family: 5.8S ribosomal RNA (bases 1-120)
Source: RNAcentral
GAUGAAGAACGUAGCGAAAUGCGAUAAGUAAUGUGAAUUGCAGAAUUCAGUGAAUCAUCGAAUCUUUGAACGCACAUUGCGCCCGUCAGUAUUCUGGCGGGCAUGCCUGUUCGAGCGUCAUUACGCCCCUCAAGUCCCCUGUGGACUUGGUGUUGGGGAUCGGCGAGGCUGGUUUUCCAGCACAGCCGUCCCUUAAAUUAAUUGGCGGUCUCGCCGUGGCCCUCCUCUGCGCAGUAGUAAAACACUCGCAACAGGAGCCCGGCGAGGUCCACUGCCGUAAAACCCCCCGACUUUUUAUAGUUGAACUCGAAUCAGGUAGGACUACCCGCUGAACUUAAGCAUAUCAAUAAGCGGAGGA